UCCAAUACAAAGCAUAUAAAGUAGUCUUCUUUUAUACCCAAGCUCUCUUAUUCAAUAUCUUCCUUCUACUUUCGUAGUUUCCUCUUCUUUAAUUGAAUCUUUCUAUCUUAGUUAACGAUCUUGGGCUAGCAAAAGGUCUCCCCAUUUACACACUUUCAUAGUUUCCUCUUCUUUAAUUGAAUCUUUCUAUCUUAGUUAACGAUCUUGGGCUAGCAAAAGGUCUCCCAUUUACACCUUUCUUCUGCUAUUCUCUACGAUUGAUUCAUUCUAAACUGCAACAAAUUUAUCCUUAAUAUUUCAUUUCAAUUGGAAUUUGGCUAUUCACCAUGUAAGAGGGUGGAAUCCUAAAUGAAAUCUGGACUGUUGACUUUGAUUUUGCCUACUAAAACGCGGAAUAUAUCCAUUCCCCAUAUAUACCCUAAUUCUUUUCUGAAGUUUAUCUGCUGUGGACUAAACAAUGAAAAAGAAACGGCUUAAACCAACACCAAGGGAACGCAGACAAUUCUGCUAAGGAUGUAAGCCUAAUGAUUUUACAGAAGCAACAUAGAGGCACUAUCUGGCCACCAUCGCAGGUUCCAAUAGAUAUCUAUGUUGCUCGAACUCUUCAAAAUUGUCGAUUGGAUUUUGUUGAAUCCGUAGUGUAUUUUUGGAGGACCGACAUAGGCACGACAAUAUAUUUGGAGAACCCAGGUACCAGACAUAUACCAGGCAAAGCUUUCAAGUUUUCAGGUCUCGGGCGUUCAAUGCUUUUUACAUCUUUUUAUAAUGGUGUGCAGAUACAGAGUGAUUCUAAGAUGAAAACCAACAAACUGGAUAUAUAAGUGGAAAGACUGGUCACACGAGAUCUCUUAAUGGAAAGACUUUAUAACUCACCCAUUUCAAAUAACUCCCUAUAUUUUUUUAUUUGAGCUUUCACAGAACUUCUAUGUUGAAUGGGGAUAAUCGUUUACUGGCAGUCAUCUCUCUUCUCCUUUUAUUUUAGGUUGCUUAACAGUGCGGAAAAGCCAAAUUCAGCAAUAAGCAGACGCUCAGGGGUACACUCCGUUUGCAGAUAACUGGCAACCAACAAUGCACAAGAGCACCUUGACUCAAGUAGCUUUACUAAAAACUAACGAAGCAUUAAGUGAACUUCUACAAGUUUACAGACAAUUUUCUGAAGCUAUGUUGCUAGCUAUUACUAUAGGACAAAAUUAUGAUUAAGGAGGUAGCAUCUGAUUUGCUUUUCUUAACCCAUAUUCAUUUGGCUUGGAUGGAUAAUAGACAAAACUGCACCAAAAUAGAGAUCAGUUAUGGCAUGUCCUGUUGCAAAUGCAUCUUGAUCAGUUUUCAUCUUCUGAAUCAGGAAUGACAACAGACUCAGCAGCUGUAUUGAUGCUAGGUCUCUGCCUCAACCUAUUCUUCGCACCUAUAUGAGUGCUUCCUGGAACAGCAUAGCCAGUCAC
RNAcentral lists this long non-coding RNA (1442 nucleotides) under Capsicum annuum. RNAcentral describes it as "long non-coding RNA (CANN_LNC012815)". Lineage: Eukaryota; Viridiplantae; Streptophyta; Magnoliopsida; Solanales; Solanaceae. The record is from RNAcentral.